GCAUAUCAUAACUGACAUUUGGACCCUACAUGGUACAAAUUCAUUUGAAAAGUAAAGAAAAUUGAUACUAAUAAAAUGUAGGUUAACCAUCAAUAUCAUACCUUCUCUUUUUAUGCUUCUACAAUAUCCCGACGGGCCAAUCAAAAAGCUGACCUAACCAUAAAAAGAGUUUUUAAUCCAAGGGUUCUUGGAGUCAAAUCCAUGCCACCACACAACCAUUUCAACAUUCCCUCUGCAAUAGCAAAAGGGAAAGGGACCUGGCGUGGAGCUCAUUGGCCGCGGAGGAAAGUUGCAUCGGAGAAUUUAGGGAUCCGGCCAAAGGAAAUGU
Long non-coding RNA from Rhododendron vialii, 328 nucleotides. RefSeq lists it as uncharacterized. The transcript is spliced from 2 exons. Lineage: Eukaryota; Viridiplantae; Streptophyta; Magnoliopsida; Ericales; Ericaceae. The record is from RefSeq and is a predicted model, not a curated record.